Molecule: ribosomal RNA, 491 nt
Filed under: uncultured bacterium
Lineage: Bacteria
Description: partial 16S ribosomal RNA
Rfam family: Bacterial small subunit ribosomal RNA
Source: RNAcentral
AGUGAACGCUGGCGGUAGGCCUAACACAUGCAAGUCGAACGGCAGCACCGUAAGAGCUUGCUCUUACGGGUGGCGAGUGGCGGACGGGUGCGGAAUACAUCGGAAUCUACUUUUUCGUGGGGGCUAACGUAGGGAAACUUACGCUAAUACCGCAUACGUCCUACGGGUGAAAGCAGGGGUUCUUCGGACCUUGCGCGAUUGAAUGAGCCGAUGUCGGAUUAGCUAGUUGGCGGGGUAAGGCCCAUCAAGGCGACCAUGCGUAGCGGGUCUGAGCGGAUGAUCAGCCACACUGGAACUGAGACACGGUCCAGACUCCUACGGGAGGCAGCAGUGGGGAAUCUUGGACAAGGGGCGCAAGCCGGAUCCAGCCAAACCGGGGGAGGGAAGAAGGACUUCGGGUUGGAGAGCCCUUUUGUUGGGAAAGAAAAGCAGCAGGUUAAUACCCCGCUGUUCUGACGGUACCCAAAGAAGAAGCACCGGCUAACUUCGUG